GGGGGAACACUGGGCAACACAGCCUUUCCCGGACUUUUAAUCCGGUUGGCAGGGUUCGAGUCCCUGGCGGCCCA
RNAcentral lists this transfer RNA (74 nucleotides) under Actinomycetota bacterium. Its description in RNAcentral is "tRNA-Lys". The record is from RNAcentral. Lineage: Bacteria; Bacillati; Actinomycetota.